RNAcentral lists this ribosomal RNA (253 nucleotides) under uncultured bacterium. RNAcentral describes it as "partial 16S ribosomal RNA". It matches the Rfam family "Bacterial small subunit ribosomal RNA", at positions 524 to 776 of the family's 1533-position model. The record is from RNAcentral.
UACGUAGGGUGCAGGCGUUAAUCGGAAUUACUGGGCGUAAAGCGUGCGCAGGCGGUUUUGUAAGUCUGUCGUGAAAGCCCCGGGCUUAACCUGGGAAUUGCGAUGGAGACUGCAAGGCUUGAAUCUGGCAGAGGGGGGUAGAAUUCCACGUGUAGCAGUGAAAUGCGUAGAGAUGUGGAGGAACACCGAUGGCGAAGGCAGCCCCCUGGGUCAAGAUUGACGCUCAUGCACGAAAGCGUGGGGAGCAAACAGG